This 2239-nucleotide ribosomal RNA is filed under the name Escherichia coli. Its description in RNAcentral is "bacterial LSU rRNA". It matches the Rfam family "Bacterial large subunit ribosomal RNA", at positions 447 to 2671 of the family's 2925-position model. The record is from RNAcentral. Lineage: Bacteria; Pseudomonadati; Pseudomonadota; Gammaproteobacteria; Enterobacterales; Enterobacteriaceae.
GGGGGACCAUCCUCCAAGGCUAAAUACUCCUGACUGACCGAUAGUGAACCAGUACCGUGAGGGAAAGGCGAAAAGAACCCCGGCGAGGGGAGUGAAAAAGAACCUGAAACCGUGUACGUACAAGCAGUGGGAGCACGCUUAGGCGUGUGACUGCGUACCUUUUGUAUAAUGGGUCAGCGACUUAUAUUCUGUAGCAAGGUUAACCGAAUAGGGGAGCCGAAGGGAAACCGAGUCUUAACUGGGCGUUAAGUUGCAGGGUAUAGACCCGAAACCCGGUGAUCUAGCCAUGGGCAGGUUGAAGGUUGGGUAACACUAACUGGAGGACCGAACCGACUAAUGUUGAAAAAUUAGCGGAUGACUUGUGGCUGGGGGUGAAAGGCCAAUCAAACCGGGAGAUAGCUGGUUCUCCCCGAAAGCUAUUUAGGUAGCGCCUCGUGAAUUCAUCUCCGGGGGUAGAGCACUGUUUCGGCAAGGGGGUCAUCCCGACUUACCAACCCGAUGCAAACUGCGAAUACCGGAGAAUGUUAUCACGGGAGACACACGGCGGGUGCUAACGUCCGUCGUGAAGAGGGAAACAACCCAGACCGCCAGCUAAGGUCCCAAAGUCAUGGUUAAGUGGGAAACGAUGUGGGAAGGCCCAGACAGCCAGGAUGUUGGCUUAGAAGCAGCCAUCAUUUAAAGAAAGCGUAAUAGCUCACUGGUCGAGUCGGCCUGCGCGGAAGAUGUAACGGGGCUAAACCAUGCACCGAAGCUGCGGCAGCGACGCUGAUGCGUUGUUGGGUAGGGGAGCGUUCUGUAAGCCUGCGAAGGUGUGCUGUGAGGCAUGCUGGAGGUAUCAGAAGUGCGAAUGCUGACAUAAGUAACGAUAAAGCGGGUGAAAAGCCCGCUCGCCGGAAGACCAAGGGUUCCUGUCCAACGUUAAUCGGGGCAGGGUGAGUCGACCCCUAAGGCGAGGCCGAAAGGCGUAGUCGAUGGGAAACAGGUUAAUAUUCCUGUACUUGGUGUUACUGCGAAGGGGGGACGGAGAAGGCUAUGUUGGCCGGGCGACGGUUGUCCCGGUUUAAGCGUGUAGGCUGGUUUUCCAGGCAAAUCCGGAAAAUCAAGGCUGAGGCGUGAUGACGAGGCACUACGGUGCUGAAGCAACAAAUGCCCUGCUUCCAGGAAAAGCCUCUAAGCAUCAGGUAACAUCAAAUCGUACCCCAAACCGACACAGGUGGUCAGGUAGAGAAUACCAAGGCGCUUGAGAGAACUCGGGUGAAGGAACUAGGCAAAAUGGUGCCGUAACUUCGGGAGAAGGCACGCUGAUAUGUAGGUGAAGUCCCUUGCGGAUGGAGCUGAAAUCAGUCGAAGAUACCAGCUGGCUGCAACUGUUUAUUAAAAACACAGCACUGUGCAAACACGAAAGUGGACGUAUACGGUGUGACGCCUGCCCGGUGCCGGAAGGUUAAUUGAUGGGGUCAGCGCAAGCGAAGCUCUUGAUCGAAGCCCCGGUAAACGGCGGCCGUAACUAUAACGGUCCUAAGGUAGCGAAAUUCCUUGUCGGGUAAGUUCCGACCUGCACGAAUGGCGUAAUGAUGGCCAGGCUGUCUCCACCCGAGACUCAGUGAAAUUGAACUCGCUGUGAAGAUGCAGUGUACCCGCGGCAAGACGGAAAGACCCCGUGAACCUUUACUAUAGCUUGACACUGAACAUUGAGCCUUGAUGUGUAGGAUAGGUGGGAGGCUUUGAAGUGUGGACGCCAGUCUGCAUGGAGCCGACCUUGAAAUACCACCCUUUAAUGUUUGAUGUUCUAACGUUGACCCGUAAUCCGGGUUGCGGACAGUGUCUGGUGGGUAGUUUGACUGGGGCGGUCUCCUCCUAAAGAGUAACGGAGGAGCACGAAGGUUGGCUAAUCCUGGUCGGACAUCAGGAGGUUAGUGCAAUGGCAUAAGCCAGCUUGACUGCGAGCGUGACGGCGCGAGCAGGUGCGAAAGCAGGUCAUAGUGAUCCGGUGGUUCUGAAUGGAAGGGCCAUCGCUCAACGGAUAAAAGGUACUCCGGGGAUAACAGGCUGAUACCGCCCAAGAGUUCAUAUCGACGGCGGUGUUUGGCACCUCGAUGUCGGCUCAUCACAUCCUGGGGCUGAAGUAGGUCCCAAGGGUAUGGCUGUUCGCCAUUUAAAGUGGUACGCGAGCUGGGUUUAGAACGUCGUGAGACAGUUCGGUCCCUAUCUGCCGUGGGCGCUGGAGAACUGAGGGGGG